Molecule: ribosomal RNA, 252 nt
Filed under: uncultured bacterium
Lineage: Bacteria
Description: partial 16S ribosomal RNA
Rfam family: Bacterial small subunit ribosomal RNA
Source: RNAcentral
UACGAAGGGUGCAAGCGUUGCUCGGAAUCAUUGGGCGUAAAGCGCACGUAGGCGGGCGCGUAAGUCGGUUGUGAAAGCCCUGGGCUCAACCCGGGAAUUGCAGUCGAUACUGCGUGUCUUGAGUUCUCAAGAGGAUGGCGGAAUUCCUGGUGUAGAAGUGAAAUUCGUAGAUAUCAGGAGGAACACCGGAGGCGAAGGCGGCUGUCUGGUGAGACACUGACGCUGAGGUGCGAAAGCGUGGGGAUCAAACAG